UAAUUCUAGAGCUAAUACAUGCUGUUGUGCCUGACUCAAGAAAGGCCGUAUUUAUUAGAUAUCAGCCAAUAAGCAUCUGCUAUUGUGGUGACUCAUAGUAACUUAAUCGGAUCGCGUGGGCUCGUCCCGCGACAAACCAUUCAAGUUUCUGCCCCAUCAUGCUUUCGAUGGUAGUGUAUUGGACUACCAUGGCUUUCACGGGUAACGGAGGAUUAGGGUUCGAUUCCGGAGAGGGAGCCUGAGAAACGGCUACCACAUCUAAGGAAGGCAGCAGGCGCGUAAAUUACCCAAUCCUGACUCAGGGAGGUAGUGACAAGAAAUAACGGACCGGUUCCUUCGGAUUCGGGAUU
RNAcentral lists this ribosomal RNA (350 nucleotides) under uncultured Spirotrichea. Its description in RNAcentral is "SSU rRNA". It matches the Rfam family "Eukaryotic small subunit ribosomal RNA", at positions 153 to 510 of the family's 1831-position model. The record is from RNAcentral. Lineage: Eukaryota; Ciliophora; Spirotrichea.